GCACGGGUGCGUAACGCGUAUACAAUCUGCCUUUCACAUAGGGAUAGCCCGAAGAAAUUUGGAUUAAUACCUAAUGGUAUAUUGGAGCGGCAUCGUUUUUAUAUUAAAGCUACGGUGGUGAAAGAUGAGUAUGCGUUCUAUUAGCUAGUUGGAGAGGUAACGGCUCCCCAAGGCGACGAUAGAUAGGGGUUCUGAGAGGGAUGUCCCCCACACUGGUACUGAGAUACGGACCAGACUCCUACGGGAGGCAGCAGUGAGGAAUAUUGGACAAUGGUCGGAAGACUGAUCCAGCCAUGCCGCGUGCAGGAUGAAGGUCCUAUGGAUUGUAAACUGCUUUUGUAAGGGAAGAAUAAGGGGUACGUGUACUUUGAUGACGGUACCUUACGAAUAAGCAUCGGCUAACUCCGUGCCAGCAGCCGCGGUAAUACGGAGGAUGCGAGCGUUAUCCGGAAUCAUUGGGUUUAAAGGGUCCGUAGGCGGGCUAAUAAGUCAGAGGUGAAAGCGUUCAGCUCAACUGAGCAACUGCCUUUGAAACUGUUAGUCUUGAAUGAUUGUGAAGUAGUUGGAAUGUGUAGUGUAGCGGUGAAAUGCUUAGAUAUUACACAGAACACCGAUAGCGAAGGCAUAUUACUAACAAUUUAUUGACGCUGAUGGACGAAAGCGUGGGGAGCGAACAGGAUUAGAUACCCUGGUAGUCCACGCUGUAAACGAUGGAUACUAGCUGUUUGGAGCAAUCUGAGUGGCUAAGCGAAAGUGAUAAGUAUCCCACCUGGGGAGUACGCACGCAAGUG
Molecule: ribosomal RNA, 791 nt
Filed under: uncultured Bacteroidota bacterium
Lineage: Bacteria; Pseudomonadati; Bacteroidota
Description: bacterial SSU rRNA
Rfam family: Bacterial small subunit ribosomal RNA
Source: RNAcentral